This 253-nucleotide ribosomal RNA is filed under the name uncultured bacterium. RNAcentral's name for it is "partial 16S ribosomal RNA". It matches the Rfam family "Bacterial small subunit ribosomal RNA", at positions 524 to 776 of the family's 1533-position model. The record is from RNAcentral.
GACAGAGGGGGCAAGCGUUGCUCGGAAUUACUGGGCGUAAAGGGCGCGUAGGCGGGAUGGCAAGUCGGUCGUGAAAUCCCUCGGCUCAACCGAGGAACGUCGAUCGAUACUGCUGUUCUUGAGGAUUGCAGAGGAGACUGGAAUUCCCGGUGUAGCGGUGAAAUGCGUAGAUAUGCGGAGGAACACCGAUGGCGAAGGCAAUCCCCUGGGCCUGUACUGACGCUCGUGCACGAAAGCGUGGGGAGCAAACAGG